CAGGAACACAGGGGCGACAAAGGGCUCCCCACCAAACCCUAGUUCUUGUCAAAAUUGAUCAAAUUGGAAGUUCUAAUCUGUUCCAAAUCAAUUUCCAAGCACAAAUUAGUGAUCCCCUCUGAAAAAGGAUCAUAAGGCAAGGAAAUAGGAACGUUAAGUGGACGAGCUAGUGGCGAUACGCGUUUGAAGGGAGCGCUUUAAAGGUGAUGUUGGAACUAACCGGAAGAUGAUCGAGCCAGCUUUUGAAGAACCGAACACUAUUUACAAGCUUCCGCAAUGUUUUAAACCUUAAUAGAUUAUGUUUAUGAAUUAUAAACAAAUUGUUAAACAACUUUUGGA
Helianthus annuus (common sunflower) is the source of this 339-nucleotide long non-coding RNA. RefSeq lists it as uncharacterized. The transcript has 3 exons. The record is from RefSeq and is a predicted model, not a curated record. Lineage: Eukaryota; Viridiplantae; Streptophyta; Magnoliopsida; Asterales; Asteraceae.